AGCGCAGGCGGGAAGACAAGUUGGAAGUGAAAACCAUGGGCUCAACCCAUGAAUUGCUUUCAAAACUGUUUUUCUUGAGUAGUGCAGAGGUAGAUGGAAUUCCCGGUGUAGCGGUGGAAUGCGUAGAUAUCGGGAGGAACACCAGUGGCGAAGGCGGUCUACUGGGCACCAACUGACGCUGAGGCCCGAAAGCAUGGGUAGCAAACA
Molecule: ribosomal RNA, 207 nt
Filed under: uncultured bacterium
Lineage: Bacteria
Description: partial 16S ribosomal RNA
Rfam family: Bacterial small subunit ribosomal RNA
Source: RNAcentral